CACGCAGGCGGAUUGAUAAGUCAGGGGUGAAAUCCCGGGGCUCAACCUCGGAAUUGCCUUUGAUACUGUCUAUCUCGAGUUCGGGAGAGGUUGGCGGAAUUCCUAGUGUAGAGGUGAAAUUCGUAGAUAUUAGGAAGAACACCAGUGGCGAAGGCGGCCAACUGGCCCGAUACUGACGCUCAUGUGCGAAAGCGUGGGGAGCAAACAGGAUUAGAUACCCUGGUAGUCCACGCCGUAAACUAUGGAUGCUAGCCGUUGGGGAGCUUGCUCUUCAGUGGCGCAGCUAACGUCUUAAGCAUCCCGCCUGGGGAGUACGGUCGCAAGAUUAAA
Molecule: ribosomal RNA, 330 nt
Filed under: uncultured bacterium
Lineage: Bacteria
Description: bacterial SSU rRNA
Rfam family: Bacterial small subunit ribosomal RNA
Source: RNAcentral